GGAUGCGAUCAUACCAGCACUAAAGCACCGGAUCCCUUCAGAACUCCGAAGUUAAGCGUGCUUGGGCGAGAGUAGUACUAGGAUGGGUGACCUCCUGGGAAGUCCUCGUGUUGCAUUCC
RNAcentral lists this ribosomal RNA (119 nucleotides) under Triticum aestivum (bread wheat). The record is from RNAcentral. Lineage: Eukaryota; Viridiplantae; Streptophyta; Magnoliopsida; Poales; Poaceae.